Non-coding RNA from Microcebus murinus (gray mouse lemur), 1613 nucleotides. Lineage: Eukaryota; Metazoa; Chordata; Mammalia; Primates; Cheirogaleidae. The record is from RefSeq and is a predicted model, not a curated record.
AUACUAGAAAGCACUUGCUAAUAACCCAGGAAUCAAAGGCCCAUUAGAUUCGCCCAGGCUAAUGCUCACCCCUUUAAGCCAUGCUUGGAGAAACUAAUGGAAUUGGGAAUUCAGAAUUCAGGCUUCUAUAGUGUCAGCCACAUGGGAGCUUUCCAGAACACAACAAACAUUACUGCUCGAGAGGCCCUGAGGUUGUGCCAAUGAUAUGUUCGCCUGGGAUCCUUUCUGGGCUGGGACUACCACCACCAAUCUUCAUGUGACUUUAGAGUGUCAGCUCACAUUUGUGACCUGGAACUUUUAAGGGAUGCUGAGCUCACACAGAGGCAGAGAGCUGAGCAGGAGAGCAGAAGCCCCUCCUCCCUCCCGUCUAGAGCAUGCUCAAAGGUCAGAGGACUCCGGAGUGCACUGUCGCCAAGACUGGGGAGAUGGAGUCUGGCAUAUGGAGGUCUCACUAUGUUGACUGGACUUGAAUUGCUGGGCUCAAGUGACCGUCUUGCCUCAGUCUUCAGAGUAGCUGGCACUACAGCUGCAUGCUUUCGUGCCCAGCAAGAAAUUCUUCACAGUUACAUCAUUUAACCUUCUUAAGAGCUGCAGGAGGUAGGAAUUGUUGCCCCCUGUACAGCUGAGAAAACGGAGAUUCCAGGAAGUAAAUCGUCUUGUUCCAGGUUUAGUAAGCAACAGAGCUGAGAUUCCAACCCAGGUAUAGCAAAGUCUGAGGCCACAGCUGGGUGAGUCCUCGGGACUACCAGGGACCCACCCCGCUCAGCACACUCGCUCCAUCUGAGGGGGCUCCAUGUUUACACACACACACACACACACACACACACACACACCCUCUCAUCUGAUUCUUACAGCCAGCCUGGGUGACAGACACAAGAGCGUCUUGCCCCUUUGUCACACAGCCGGGCAGUGUGGGAUGAGGGCUGAGGGCGGGCUUGGAGGACUAGUUGGGAAGUGCCUGAGCUUGGCCUUGUGAUUCUGAGGCCGGUGCUCUCCUAUCCAGCCCUGGAGACUCCUGCAGAUGGGAAGUGCCUCAGAGUGUGGGGGCUUGGCCGCCAGGGUGUCUGCCUGGUGAGUGUACGUGUAGAGGCUCUCCUGCUUCCAGAGCCUUCCCUGAGUCGGGGCAUGAGUGUGUGUGUGUGUGUGUGUGUGUGUGUGUGUGUGUGUGGAGGAGCUUAGGACAUAUCUGAGCUGGGCGUCCCCUUCCUCCUUGGCAUUUUCACAUGGGUGAAGAAUGAACAUCAAUUCUUGUAGGACAGGAGUGAUGCAUGAUUCUCCCCAUUUACAAAUGAGAAAACAGGCAUGGAAAGCAGAAGGAAAUAAAACCCUGGUUUCUGGAUAGGACAAGAACUUGGAUCCUAGGGCCAACAUCUGGCGCCUGUCCUCACAGCCUCUUACUGAACUGAGAAAACGUCACUGGGAUGUUGGCCCUGGUCUGUGGCGACUGGGCUCUGUGAGUGUUUGCAAGUCUGUGCUUUGGGGGGUGCAAGAGCCGGAGCACCAUGCUGAGCUAGAUCAUGUGCCAAUGAAUCCUCUGGUAUCUAGAAAAGCAUCUGAUGUAAAAGAUUUUAUUGCUCAUUUUCCUGUAUUAUAAAAAUCUUUUGAGCAUGCAC